GCUGAUAAAGCCAAACUCCGAGUAAUCGGAGGACGGAAAGCCACGGAUCCCAUCUUGAGCGGGAUGGCCGGGUUGCCAAAG
This 81-nucleotide non-coding RNA is filed under the name Deltaproteobacteria bacterium. RNAcentral's name for it is "c-di-GMP sequence". It matches the Rfam family "c-di-GMP-I-GGC riboswitch aptamer". Lineage: Bacteria; Pseudomonadati; Myxococcota; Myxococcia. The record is from RNAcentral.